Molecule: long non-coding RNA, 822 nt
Organism: Daphnia pulicaria
Lineage: Eukaryota; Metazoa; Arthropoda; Branchiopoda; Diplostraca; Daphniidae
Exons: 5
Source: RefSeq, a predicted model, not a curated record
UGUAUUUAAGGAAAAACUUUUUACUGUUUCUGCUCAUCAUAUCAAUUUCCAUUAAUAAUUCAGUUGGUAGAAAACAUCAUCUUGAUCUAAAGGAUGAGACUCGAAAAAGCAUACCUGUUAGUAUGUUCGGAUUUCUUCGAGGUGGCAUCUUGAAUGUUACAGUAUCUAACUUGGCAAUCUCGAAACAAGCACAAGAAACAUCAGGACUGGGGUUUAGCUUGGAUAGGACACUUAGUGAUGCUGCAAACCCAUACUUAGAUAGCAAACGGGAUAUCUGUAGUUCAAGAUUGGAAAUAAAUGAAGAACCAGAUCACACAGCUGUUGCUCGAUUUGAAUUUGAUUUCAAAGACAAAAUAUUUAAAGUUCGGUGCUCCAGCAGGUUUAAUUUCAUUGGCAACAUUAUUACUGUGGAUGACCCAAGAAAUUAAAAGAAAUUCAGUGGCUGAGAAACUUAGUGAUUCUAGUUUGUUCAGUCGAAAUGCUAGAACCAAAAGAAACAUACUUAAUGAAUCUCUAGAUGUUGCUGAGGCUUCAAAUGUUAGUGUUACUUGCAACACACUGAAAAUUCCACUUUCUUCUUCAGAUGGAAAUUCCUUUUCAACAAAUUUCACAGUAAACAUAAGACAUUCAGAAGAAGAAGGCAUGUACUUAACCUUUAUUUCCAUCGCUGUUUCAAUGACGAAAUAAUUCCCAUUAACCUAACCAUUGAGGUUACCGAAACCAACGGUGAUAUAAACUACCUAUCAGCUGAAACGGCAUGGAACUUUUUGCUGUUCCUCUUACAAAAGUAACUGGAUCGCGUUCGACGGCCGAUCGUUUCGC